CAGCCGCCGCGGGAAUACGAAGGGGGCUAGCGUUGCUCGGAAUGACUGGGCGUAAAGGGCGCGUAGGCGGCUUGCACAGUCAGAUGUGAAAUUCCUGGGCUUAACCUGGGGGCUGCAUUUGAUACGUGUGGGCUAGAGUGUGAAAGAGGGUCGUGGAAUUCCCAGUGUAGAGGUGAAAUUCGUCGAUAUUGGGAAGAACACCGGUGGCGAAGGCGGCGACCUGGUUCAUGACUGACGCUGAGGCGCGAAAGCGUGGGGAGCAAACAGGAUUAGAUACCCCAGUAGUCCCUGUCUCUUAUAC
This 301-nucleotide ribosomal RNA is filed under the name uncultured bacterium. RNAcentral describes it as "partial 16S ribosomal RNA". It matches the Rfam family "Bacterial small subunit ribosomal RNA", at positions 509 to 807 of the family's 1533-position model. The record is from RNAcentral.